This is a long non-coding RNA of Ornithorhynchus anatinus (platypus), 212 nucleotides long. RefSeq lists it as uncharacterized. The record is from RefSeq and is a predicted model, not a curated record. The transcript has 3 exons. NCBI's taxonomy places the organism in Eukaryota, Metazoa, Chordata, Mammalia, Monotremata, Ornithorhynchidae.
GCUGUUAAGAUGUUGCUGACUUCUGGAAUUCAAGCGACUGAAGUUCACUUCUGAUGACGUGAGGUCCAAGUGAAGAUCCUCUUUUUUGCUGAUAUAUACUCAGUACAGUCACCUCCAAGUUCUUCAGGUGGCCCCGAAUAUCCGAGGUGCACAGCUGGAGAGUACGCACAUAGCUCGCCUCUGUCCUGAUCAGCUCGUCCGCGGCCAGCCUU